RNAcentral lists this ribosomal RNA (497 nucleotides) under uncultured bacterium. RNAcentral's name for it is "partial 16S ribosomal RNA". It matches the Rfam family "Bacterial small subunit ribosomal RNA", at positions 28 to 507 of the family's 1533-position model. The record is from RNAcentral.
GAUGAACGCUGGCGGCGUGCCUAAUACAUGCAAGUCGAGCGAACGGACGAGAAGCUUGCUUCUCUGAUGUUAGCGGCGGACGGGUGAGUAACACGUGGAUAACCUACCUAUAAGACUGGGAUAACUUCGGGAAACCGUAGCUAAUACCGGAUAAUAUUUUGAACCGCUUGGUUCAAAAGUGAAUGACGGUCUUGCUGUCACUUAUAGAUGGAUCCGCGCUGCAUUAGCUAGUUGGUAAGGUAACGGCUUACCAAGGCAACGAUGCAUAGCCGACCUGAGAGGGUGAUCGGCCACACUGGAACUGAGACACGGUCCAGACUCCUACGGGAGGCAGCAGUAGGGAAUCUUCCGCAAUGGGCGAAAGCCUGACGGAGCAACGCCGCGUGAGUGAUGAAGGUCUUCGGAUCGUAAAACUCUGUUAUUAGGGAAGAACAUAUGUGUAAGUAACUGUGCACAUCUUGACGGUACCUAAUCAGAAAGCCACGGCUAACUACGUG